Molecule: long non-coding RNA, 1005 nt
Organism: Phyllopteryx taeniolatus (common seadragon)
Lineage: Eukaryota; Metazoa; Chordata; Actinopteri; Syngnathiformes; Syngnathidae
Exons: 3
Source: RefSeq, a predicted model, not a curated record
GCGGCGACAUAACCCAAAUUUUUAGUUGGGUCAUACCCGUAGUCACUCGCCUAGCCUACUCGAAUGCUAUAAUAACAGUAAAUAUUUGUAUCAAAAACUCUUCUAGGCCAUAGUACAAAUGAUUUGAAUUAAAGUACUGCAGUAAAUUGGCAUGCCUUCUUCUCACGUGAUGUUACGCCAACUACUGUAGCAAAUUGUGUGCCGUUUGUGACCUCAAAACGUAAUUACAUUUUGGCAUUUUGUUACUUGAAAAACCACAUCCAUUUGAAAACAGGUCUCAGUUUUCUCAAGGGACUUUUCUAAGCAUCACAGUUAUCGUUUCCAACUAUGGUGAAAAAUGGUCAUCUGUGAAUGUGGGUGACAGACAUUGAUGAAAGGCAUUCAAAAGAUCCCAGGGAGACAAAUUGGUUGUGCGUGCGUUUAGUAUACAAAGUGCGGCUGGCAUGCAUAUAACAGUGCUAUACUUUGUCAUUAUGUAAAUUUCAGAGAAUAGCAUUUGGGCACACAUCAGUACAGUGUGAGCUAAACAGUGUUGGGCAGUAGUAGCAGUGUUACUAGUUCAUUUCUCUGUCGUGUGAUCAUAUAGUGAUUGCACAGUAGCGUUCACAGAAACGAAAUUUUCCCCAGGAAGUUGUAAAUCUUAAAUGCAUAUCCUCUGUUUGACCUCACCAUAUGUACUGAUCCUCGUGCUGAUGCCCGCCAACGGACCUGUGAAUUUUGUCUUGGAAAGAGCGCAACUAGAGACAGCGGAGGAGGGGUCUGAGGGUGAAGCCAUGGGAGACUGACCCCACCAGCAUGGCUGGAGUGAUGCUAUAACCCCCUGCUCAACUUGAAGUUUGCCUGUUAAUUAAGGUUGUAAACCUUUGGGAUGAACAUGUACUGUUAACCAAGCAGACAAACGCGUCCACCACUACACAAUAAGGAUGACCUCACAGCUGCCUGUUGCAUGAGGCAACCUCUUUUGUUCCACAGUGGGAAUCUAUCUCACAACUCUUAUUGUGGUGC